RNAcentral lists this non-coding RNA (181 nucleotides) under Paenibacillaceae bacterium. RNAcentral describes it as "6S RNA". It matches the Rfam family "6S / SsrS RNA". Rfam says of the family: E. coli 6S RNA was the first non coding RNA to be sequenced, but its function was unknown until recently. It consists of 184 nucleotides that fold into an extended hairpin structure with a large single-stranded internal bulge. Lineage: Bacteria; Bacillati; Bacillota; Bacilli; Caryophanales; Paenibacillaceae. The record is from RNAcentral.
AAAGUCCUGCGAUGUACGUUACGCUUCUACGAUGUUUUGAACCAUUGUUCGUUUCUCGGGAGCUCUAGAUUGGAAUGUAGCUGAUAUGCCCUCAAAAGGGGACCUCAAAAGCGUUCCUGCGAGCACCCACCUGCUAAGCAGGUUCAGAAACUCUUGAUCGGACGGCAUUUGCGGGUUUUUC